RNAcentral lists this transfer RNA (69 nucleotides) under Haemorhous mexicanus (house finch). Its description in RNAcentral is "tRNA-Lys". RNAcentral also lists the same sequence under 3 other names. Lineage: Eukaryota; Metazoa; Chordata; Aves; Passeriformes; Fringillidae. The record is from RNAcentral.
CAUUAAGAAGCUAUGAACCAGCAUUAGCCUUUUAAGCUAAAGAAAGAGGGCUACACCCCUCCUUAAUGA